RNAcentral lists this ribosomal RNA (138 nucleotides) under uncultured eukaryote. RNAcentral describes it as "partial 18S ribosomal RNA". It matches the Rfam family "Eukaryotic small subunit ribosomal RNA", at positions 1299 to 1458 of the family's 1831-position model. The record is from RNAcentral.
UGGUGGAGCGAUUUGUCUGGUUAAUUCCGAUAACGUACGAGACUCUGGCCUAUUAAAUAGUUCGCCGAUUCCGAUCUGUCGGCGUUAACUUCUUAGAGGGACAAGUGGCUUUUAGCCACGCGAGAUUGAGCAAUAACA